AAUCAGUAGAGAUGUUUUGUUAAAAUGAGGAAUGCCAAUACAUGAUAUGCUAACAGGUUCCAUUCAAUUUCCGUUACAUACGUUGAGUUUAUAUUUCGAUCAUUUUGCUCUGAAGUAAAUUUCAAGCGAAAAUUGCUUUAGAAGUGACUAAAUCGAAGUUCUAAUGGAGCGAUGAGAUUUAUGUGCAAUGAUUGCUCAAGGAAUCAAUGCCGGAGAUGUUGAAGCUUUAGGUCGCAGGGCUCUACACCUGGCAACUUCACCUAGAAGGUAAAGCCAACUUCACCUCCGAAUUGUUGAAAAUGUAAAUGUUCAAGUUGGAUUUCCUUACUUUGAUUGUUGUUUGGCAGAACUUGACUGGAAUUAAAUGUUUAUCUGAGGCCAAAGUCGAUAAAAUUUGUAAAGUUGCUGAGAAGAUAGUGGUUAGUGCUCAAACUUGUCAUAAUCUGAAAUCCAAUAUUGUCUUCAUCAGGUAGUUAUUUUAGUUUCAUAGUUUGUUCUAUUCUCUACAAAGCAAUUCAUUAGGGUGUGUGUCAAUACAGCUUCUGGCACAAUGACAAGUCUGUGCAUUACAAUUUAUAUUUUGCACAAGUAUUGUGGCUAAUGCAAGAGGCUCAAGCACCUGUUCGGUAUUCACACUAGUUCAAUUUCUUCUUAAUAUCUAGAUGUAAUUAAAAUCCAUGUUAUGUUCUUGCUUGGAAAUCUGCAGAAGUAUCUUCUAGGAAGAUGUUAUUUUGUUGUAUUACUUUGAAACUCCAUUUAAGUUUAAUCUAAUGAAAUGCAGUUAAGGAAAUACCUUAUUGUUUAACUUAAAGACUUGGAAGGUGUUUUGGAAUUUAAUUAGAACUUAAAGUCAUUAAAGUGUUCCUGUCAUUAGUACUAUGAACCAUAUUAAGCUUUCAGUUAUCAAGUUGUUAAACUAAGGCCUUGUCAAGCUUUCGUUUUGUAAAGUUAUCAAUUGUACCAUCAAAUAAUGAAAUGUUUAUUUAUUUACAAUUAUCAUGUAUUCAGUGUGUUUGAUAAAUAAAUUAAGUUGUUAACCUUAUUUUUGGGGUCCUGCAAGAUAUGCUUUGAAGAAACACACCGCUAACAGAUAGUAUAUUGCUUCUCCCCAUCUACUGAGCGUAUUCCAGAUUGUAUAGCCGCCUCAUUGUCAAGGAAAUAUAAUGUAUUGCAAUCGUCUACUUGUUCCUGUGCACCAUUGAAUUUAGACUUCAGAGACACAAGGGUGAUGCGGCUGGUGAGCAUUGGAGUGUGUCCCCUGAUUUUAUGAUGGUGCUGCCAUUGUUAGCUUAACAUGAUUGAUGAGGACAACAACCACAAGCAUUCAGCAUUCCCCAAUGUAUAUCCAUAUAUGCCACUGCACAUUGCACUAGCACAAGUUAAGAAAUUGGCACUAGCUAGUAGAUUGCCACUUCUAGGGCUGGAUUCGGUACUAAACCGAUCCAUUUUUCCCCAAACCGUUGCCGAACCGACCUCCUCCGGUAUCAGCAUUUUCAAACCGCCACCGAUCCGAAUAAUCGGUAUACUGACAAGUCGGUAACCGAAAAUCUCGGUUUGGUAUCGGUAGGUAACCGGUAAUUACAAGCAAACUCCAUGAAUUGAGAAGAAGAUGGUUUGCAGAUCUGUUGGAGAAGAUGAUGAAAAAAACAGGGAAGAGAAAGAAGAAAGAGAAGAAUUGAGAGGGCAUGUUCUUCCUCCAUCGAAUUAGCAGAGGCUGUUGAGGCUCACGCUCCAAGCCUAGCGUCGUUACUUCAACGCCGAUCCCCACCACUCUGACCCAGCUCCGUCAUCGAGUAUAACGCCAGUGAAGGAACAAAAAAAAUAUACAGAUCGAAGAACUAACAAUCCAUGGUGAAAACGGGAUUUUGGUGGUUUGGGUUUUGAUUUAUUUGUAAGAGUUGAAAUGGUUGCUUGUGUGAUUCUGGAAUUGUUGCUGGUUUCCAGAAAGAAAUUCUGGAAUGAGAGAGAAGACAAUGCUGGAACGAUGGGUUUUCGCUUUUCAUUUUGGGUUUUUACUUCUAUCGCUUAAGAAACUAAUAAAUAUAAAAUUUGUAGACAAUAUGCUGACAACAACCCGUAGUGCAGUGGUUGGGAUUAGAAACUCUAUCUAUGAGAAGAGGAGUUCGAGUCGCGCCUUCUACCAAUUUUCAUUUUAUAUAUAUAUUGUGUAAGACGCUGAUAAAUAUAAAAUAUGUACAUAUAGUAAUGAGAGCAACUCGUGGUCCAGUGGUUGGGAUCAAAGUCUCUGUAUGAGGGAAAAGGGGUUCGAAUCCCGCCUUCGACAAAUCAUUUUGUAUAUAUACUCGGUAUGGUGUAUACUCGGUCGGUACGGUAUACCGACGGUAUGCUAUACACCAUACCGUAGCCGAGCCGAAGGGAGCCAUACGGUACGGCUGAGCUGAGCCGAAAGUCGGUAGGCCGAGAUUUCGGCCCAAAUCGGUUCGGGCCGGUUCGAAAAUCGGCUGGUUCGGUUGCUUCGGCCCAAAAUGCCAG
Molecule: long non-coding RNA, 2493 nt
Organism: Rosa rugosa (rugosa rose)
Lineage: Eukaryota; Viridiplantae; Streptophyta; Magnoliopsida; Rosales; Rosaceae
Exons: 3
Source: RefSeq, a predicted model, not a curated record